AGGGGUAGACAGGUGGCCGCUCCGCCAUGCGGAGAGGAAAGUCCGGGCAUCACAGGGCAGGAUGGUCCCUAAUGGGGACUGGGGGUAACCCCAAGGAAAGUGCAACAGAAAAUAUACCGUCUCGCAUAUUGCGGGAUAAGGGUGAAAUGGUGAGGUAAGAGCUCACCAGCUCUGUGGCGACACAGAGGCUUGGCAAACCCCAUCCGAUGCAAGGCCAAAAAGGGGUCGCACUAUUUGUGCGAGGGGAUUGCCCGUCCCUUAACCCGGGUAGGCCGCUUAAGGUUCAGGGCAACCUGAAUCGAUAGAUAAAUGGUCACCUAAUACAGAACCCGGCUUAUAGUCUACCCCGAUUU
Molecule: RNase P RNA, 353 nt
Filed under: Deltaproteobacteria bacterium
Lineage: Bacteria; Pseudomonadati; Myxococcota; Myxococcia
Description: RNase P RNA component class A
Rfam family: Bacterial RNase P class A
About the family: Ribonuclease P (RNase P) is a ubiquitous endoribonuclease, found in archaea, bacteria and eukarya as well as chloroplasts and mitochondria. Its best characterised activity is the generation of mature 5'-ends of tRNAs by cleaving the 5'-leader elements of precursor-tRNAs. Cellular RNase Ps are ribonucleoproteins.
Source: RNAcentral